GUGGGGAAUAUUGGACAAUGGGGGGAACCCUGAUCCAGCCAUGCCGCGUGUGUGAAGAAGGCCUUUUGGUUGUAAAGCACUUUAAGCGAGGAGGAGGCUACCGAGAUUAAUACUCUUGGAUAGUGGACGUUACUCGCAGAAUAAGCACCGGCUAACUCUGUGCCAGCAGCCGCGGUAAUACAGAGGGUGCAAGCGUUAAUCGGAUUUACUGGGCGUAAAGCGCGCGUAGGGGGCCAAUUAAGUCAUAUGUGAAAUCCCCGAGCUUAACUUGGGAAUGGCAUUCGAUGCUGGUUGGCUAGAGUAUGGGAGAGGAUGGUAGAAUUCCAGGUGUAGCGGUGAAAUGCGUAGAGAUCUGGAGGAAUACCGAUGGCGAAGGCAGCCAUCUGGCCUAAUACUGACACUGAGGUGCGAAAGCAUGGGGAGCAAACAGGAUUAGAUACCCUAGUAGUCC
This 451-nucleotide ribosomal RNA is filed under the name uncultured bacterium. Its description in RNAcentral is "partial 16S ribosomal RNA". It matches the Rfam family "Bacterial small subunit ribosomal RNA", at positions 354 to 796 of the family's 1533-position model. The record is from RNAcentral.